CAAUUGACAUUUGCUUGGCCCUGUAAAUGUGGGAUCCACCUUAGGUGGUCUAAAUAGUUCACAUUUUGGCUUCAUUGUGCAUAGAACAUCCCCACAAUGUUCCUCUGUCUUCUACUACAAGUUUUAUGUGUUUAUAUCGGAGAGCCAUUGUUUUAUGUUAUGUUUGCAGUUUUUCAUGCUGCACUUACACUUCCUCUGUUUUCUACUACAAGUGUCAUUCAUGUUGAGUUUGUAUUACCAUUUUUCAUAUCUUUCUGAUUUAUUAUUAUAUUUUUUGAUGAGUCACAUGAUUGAUGAUGUUUCUUGGCCCUGAAAAUUCAGAGGAGAUUUUCUCUGGAGGGUUUUUUUUUUUUUUUGGAAUGUUAUCUGGAAAAUCUCAAAGAAAAAAUAUUUUAAGAGUUUCUUAUACAUCUAAAAUUUAAAUAUAUAUUUAUAUAUUUGUAUAAUAAGCCUGUAAUUUUUACUAUUUCUCAUGUUAAUGUUGGCAUAGGAAUGUGAUAUUUAGAAUCUGGCGAGUUUUUGAAAAUCUUGUGAUGGUAUCUCAAGAUUUUAAAAAUCGUAUUUCUUGCACUGACCGGAACCAUAUAAUCCUCUAUGGCAUUUGUUCUUUCUCACAAUUUAAUUAUGAUCUGAGGUCAUAUAAAAUAUAUGUUUAGUCAUGUGAUAUUAAAUCCUUGUCAGAUCUCGACCCUUUGAAAGCUUUGAGCUGUUGGCCAGUGAUGAUAUCCAUUUACCAAAAUACCAUCUUUCGGGACUUAAUGGCAUUGAAGCCUUGUUGUUAUUCUGCAAUUUUGAGGCCUUUCAAUUUAUUGAUUGUAAAGCUUGUACUAUAGUUUCUGUUUCAUUAAUUUCCAAUAUGUUUGAUUAGUUUGUUUGAAACAUCCAGCCCUCUGUGGAUGUUAGUGUGUUAGAAAAAACAUUGUUUCAUUAUAAUUUCCAGCAGUUACACCAUCCAGGCAUUGCAAUACCUGGUAAUUGAAAUAUCCAGUGCAUCUAGAUGCCCCCAAUUCAAAUGAUCCUGAAGUAAUCUCACAUAGUUUUGUUUCUUAAAAUUCUAAAGACUUACCUUUAUAAUUGGUAAAAUUGGAGAAGCUAUAUUGGUGGGUAUUUUGAAAGUGGCUUAUUUCCCAGUGUACUCAUUAUGUCAAAGCAGAGUUCUAACUUACCUAAAAAAAUGCUAUGACCAGUUUGAUAUUUGCCAUGUUUCAGGACUUGCACAUUUGUGUAAGGACAAUAGAUUUUCAAUCUUUUAGAGUUUAUUAACUACUCCCAAGAGCAGUCGAAAUUGGCAAAGCUAACCCUUCUCUCCUUGUUCAGGUGAGAUUUGGUGUUCUAGAGGCUAGAGCCUUUGGUGUUUCUCAGUCUAGGAAACGAGCAUUCAUAUGGGCAGCUUCUCCAGAAGAGACACUCCCAGAGUGGCCAGAGCCAAUGCAUGUCUUUGCAGGCCCAGAACUGAAAAUCACAUUACCAGUCGAUGUACAAUAUGCCGCUGUCAGGAGUACAGCUGGAGGGGCACCCUUCCGUGCAAUAACUUUGAGAGAUACAAUUGGAGAUCUCCCACCUGUUGGAAAUGGAGCAUCUAAAGCAGAGAUGGAUGUUAAACUGUCUACUGGUCAAAUGGUGGAUUUGAUACCUUGGUGCUUGCAACAGAGCAGAGCUCGAUAAAUGCUUGCAUGAAUGGAAAGAAUCAGGUGUCUGUGAUAUGAAAGAAGUGGAGAUCAAGUUACCAUAACAUAAUUCAAAAUGUUCAACUGUUCCUUCUCCACAGCAUAGUAUUAAUUUGAGUUACUUGUAUGCCACAUAUAUCAACCAUCACAUCUUGCCAAAGUUGUUAUGCCUGAAAGCUACCUCUGCAGAAAUACUUUACAGUGAGAUUGAGGAAAGUGAACUCUCUGAUGCAAGCUCAACAAAUUUGAAAGAAGAUGGAUCUUCACCAUCCCUAACUAUGAUCAGAAAGCAGCUGACUGAGAGGAUCACUAUUCUGUCUACCUACUAUUACGGGUUUUCGAAAUGCAAUUUUGAGGUGAAGACUCUUUUUUGCAAUGUGCCCUGUUCCAAUCCCUCUGUCCAGUCCUGGACUGUCAUUGCUGCCUGCUGCAACUUGUUUCUGCAAGUGUCAAAUGUGUCUUUGAUUUUGGCAGCAUUAGCCCAAUGAUGUCAUUAGAGCAUUUAAGUGUGAUUUUUUCUAUUUAUGUGGUAGAACUGAUUGUGCCAAAAGCUUGCUGGAUUGUGAUUGUCAUUACCUUUAAUUUGGUUGUCUUUAAUGUUGUGAUGCUGGUAGUUGAUUUAUCUAGGUUGUUCAUUAGAAAGAUGCAGAAGUGCUGAAAGAUGCAAAGGCCUUGGUUGACGGAAAUUUGGUAAACAUCUUCAACCAAUUGCAGGCUGGUACAUUAAUGCUUGCUGAAUGAUUCAAUACAUUUUCCUUCUCAAAUUAUUUCCUGAAUAUAAUUUUGAAUACAACAUAUAUCUUUUACAUUAGAGGAAUUCUCAUCUCGUUGGAUAUUCGGGUCCAUUUUCAUAAACAUGGAUGGCACAUUUACUUCACAUGGGUUCAUUUGUUUCAAAGCUUAAAGAUCCUCGUGAUGCAUGUGCUGCAAUUGUUGCUGAAUCAUAUCGUCUUUUCUUCCAUGAUCCGGUUUACGAGUCUCAUUGUUCCUAUUUGGCUAGUCAUAUAUUUUAUUUUAAGUAACCAUUUUCAAUUCCAUGCCAGACAAGUGGGUCUCACAUUUCAACAAUCUAUUUAUUGGGCUGUUGAGUCUCACCGUGGAUGGAGAAUGCCUAAAAAAUCUCUCACAUUGGAUCUUUUUCAGUUGAAUAUGGACCAUUGUUCAAUUUCUCUUCUUAACUGCUUCUAUAGGCUACAAAUUGGCAGAUUAAGAUUGCCCUAUCAGUGGGAUUUUUAAGGCAUAGUCCAAUUGCUGAUGGGUAAAAUUGAUCAAUGGUAUGGAUUCUGAUCCACACAACCCACUUGUCUGAGUUGAAUGCCUGUGUAUACCAUGCAAAGAUGCAGGCCACAUAUCCUGUAAUUCCUCAAUUAUGGCAGUUAGCUUUAUUGAUAUUAAAUUUGGAUAUGCUGGCCACAUAUCCUGUAAUUCCUCAAUAACUGAUUAGAGUUUUUUGUCUCUUUCUUUUUUGUUCUUUUCUCACGAUAGGUGGGCCUAUCGUCUUUUGUUGGGUAGGCCCGCCUGAAAUAUCUCUUUGUACAUUACUUGCCAUUAAUGGAAAAGAGACAGUUCUUUUUAAAUAAAUAAAAAAAAAGGUUCAAUAGGCUUUGUGGGGGCCUUUUCUGUUGCUAGUCAAGGAGUAGCUCUUGGUGUUUGUCCCAUGCUUGCUACAGGUUCUUAAUACGCCUAUUUGAUGAAAAAAAAUGCAUUUCUUACAUGUUUUCUUCUACUUGCGGAUGUGGUAACGUCUUCUGAAUUCCACCCUACUCGGUGUGGUCAUUGGGCUGUAGAAUGGCUGAACUGCAAAGGAACAAUUAUUCAAUGGGGAAACUGAAUUUGACCAGCUUGACAAGAUAUUUAGGACUCUCGGCACACCAAGUGAGAAGAUAUGGCUGGAAUUUGUCAAAUUGUUGGGUGUCGAGGUACCCAGUUCAAGCGGGCGAUGCAAUUUGGAUGGCACCAUUUGUACCUCAAUGGUGCGUUAUCCCUGAUCUUAGAAGGCCCUUUAACUUCUAUCAGCGAGGUUUGCUUGGUAAGCUCUGAGUUGCCCCGAAUAACUUAGCUCACUACAUUUAUUUGCUUGGUAAGCUCUGAGUUGCCCCAAAUAACUAAGAUGAACUCUCUUGUUGGAUUUGGAUCUGUUGCUGCAUUUAUUAUAAGCACAGUUAGUUAAUUUGUGAAAGUUGAUAUUACACAUUAUCUAUGAUACGAGGACCACUUUUGCUUCUUCUUCUUCGUUUUUUUUUUUUUUUUUUUUUUUGAAAGAUGAAGCAAUUUAUUAGGCAAAGCAAAAAACACAAACAAAAGUAUUCAUUUGAUUUGUAACUUCUUUUAUUCUCUACUGUUGGUGUCAUUGCUGAACCCUGGGGGCAUUUAAAGGAUCUACAUCCAGCUAUAAAACUCUGUGAACCAGCGGCUUUAAUUGUUGUUGACGAUACGCCAGAAUAUAUAA
This is a long non-coding RNA of Magnolia sinica, 4116 nucleotides long. RefSeq lists it as uncharacterized. Lineage: Eukaryota; Viridiplantae; Streptophyta; Magnoliopsida; Magnoliales; Magnoliaceae. The record is from RefSeq and is a predicted model, not a curated record. The transcript has 11 exons.